RNAcentral lists this ribosomal RNA (305 nucleotides) under uncultured bacterium. Its description in RNAcentral is "bacterial SSU rRNA". It matches the Rfam family "Bacterial small subunit ribosomal RNA", at positions 335 to 658 of the family's 1533-position model. The record is from RNAcentral.
UGGCCUACGGGGGGCAGCAGUGGGGAAUAUUGGGCAAUGGGGGAAACCCUGACCCAGCGACGCCGCGUGAGGGAAGAAGGUUUUCGGAUUGUAAACCUCUGUCCUUGGUGACGAUAAUGACGGUAGCCAAGGAGGAAGCCACGGCUAACUACGUGCCAGCAGCCGCGGGAAUACGUAGGUGGCGAGCGUUGUCCGGAAUUACUGGGUGUAAAGGGAGCGUAGGCGGGAGGGCAAGUCGACUGUGAAAUCUAUGGGCUUAACACAUAGCUGCGGUCGUAAAUGUUCAUCUUGAGGGAAGUAGGGGG